AUUGAACGCUGGCGGCAGGCCUAACACAUGCAAGUCGAACGAGUGGCGGACGGGUGAGUAAAGUCCGGGAAACUGCACGAAGGAGGGGGCUAACUACUGGAAACGGUAGCUAAUACCGCAUACCAUCAGAGGUGCCCAGAUGGGCUCAGCUUGUUGGUGGUGUAACGGCGCACAAAGGCGACGAUCCCUAGCUGGUCUGAGAGGAUGACCAGCCACACUGGAACGGAGACACGGUCCAGACUCCUACGGGAGGCAGCAGUGGGGAAUAUUGCACAAUGGGCGCAAGCCUGAUACAGCCAUGCCGCGUGUAUGAAGAAGGCCUUCGGGUUGUAAAGUACUUUCAGCGGGGAGGCGUUACCCGCAGAAGAAGCACCGGCUAACUCCGUGCCAGCAGCCGCGGUAAUAC
This 406-nucleotide ribosomal RNA is filed under the name uncultured bacterium. RNAcentral's name for it is "partial 16S ribosomal RNA". It matches the Rfam family "Bacterial small subunit ribosomal RNA", at positions 29 to 526 of the family's 1533-position model. The record is from RNAcentral.